Molecule: small nucleolar RNA, 118 nt
Organism: Artibeus jamaicensis (Jamaican fruit-eating bat)
Lineage: Eukaryota; Metazoa; Chordata; Mammalia; Chiroptera; Phyllostomidae
Product: small nucleolar RNA SNORD22
Exons: 1
Source: RefSeq, a predicted model, not a curated record
UCCCAGGGAAAGAAACAGUUACAUGUCUAAUUUCUCAUCCUAGUUCCAGAGCCUGUGAAGCCCCACAGGGCUGGCUAGGGGAGAGCUGGGGAGUUCCAGAAGGAACCAUCUGAGAGAU